RNAcentral lists this long non-coding RNA (1070 nucleotides) under Monodelphis domestica (gray short-tailed opossum). RNAcentral describes it as "lncRNA (ENSMODG00000037878.1)". Lineage: Eukaryota; Metazoa; Chordata; Mammalia; Didelphimorphia; Didelphidae. The record is from RNAcentral.
CAAAUAAACAACCAACCAACAACCCCCCCCACCCCCCCACCUAUUUUAGGAUGCCCGUGUUAAGUUUGAUUGCACACCUUUCUUUUGACACCAGUGAACCUGAUAAAGAACAGAGUCACUGAGCUUCGCGGUGGAAAUUCACCAAAGAUCAAGAAUGGACUGCAGGACCAUUAUCUCUGGCUCCUCCUAGACAGAAGAGAAGAUGGAGCUUCUGCUGCCAUCUCUCGUUCAACGUCCGCCAUAGCAUUGUUCCUGGACCAAGUUGAUUAUAAAACUAGAAACAACAAGCUAGUCUUUCCACCUCGGUUCCCCUCCAAAAAACAAAACAAAACACCUCCCCCAAAGCCCUAACUAUGAGAAGUUUACCUUUUAACAUUCCCUGCCAUUUUCUUUUUCAGUCAGUUCUAGUUGGGGGAGGAAGCAGCUGGAAAUAGUCUAUCACUUGUUUUAACGAAGCUUGGUAUGUGGAGUAGACCAAAGUGAAGGGGGAAUUCCCACACUGUCUGAUUACUCUCCAAGCCCGACACACUUCCCCUUUUGAAUGGUUUGAGGGAAGCAAGGUCUGUCUGCUUCUGUCAAAUUUCAAAGAACAAACUGUUCUUGUCCCCUUAGGUCUUUCUGAUUGCUUCACGGCGAGCUCUAAAAAUGCAUCGGUCUGGGAAUAUAUAUGAAAAAAUGAAUUUGUCAGUGAGGACAGCUUGGCAUAUUAGUUUCCUCAUACUCUUAGAUUCUUACUGUGCUUUGCACUUUGCCUGGCACAGAGUAGAUGCUUAAUAAAUGCUUGUUGCCUUGACUUAUUAACGUGCAAGAUGUGGCAUCCACUCCUAUCUUUGCUCCAGUACACACUCACCAAAAGCACAGCUGCUUAUUGCCAUGACUUUUGGGGUGAUAAAAUGGAAUUAAAAGACCUAACAAACAUCAACAAAAAACCCCCACUUUCACUUACAAAGAACAGAAAAAGAGAAUAUGUAAAACCAAGUCUCUAUUGAUGUAUAGUUUGUUUUCUUUAUGUAUAUAUUAAACUUAACAUGGUGAUAAAUAAAUGAAUGUGUGACUGAAUUUAUUUUUCA